This 418-nucleotide small RNA is filed under the name Pongo abelii (Sumatran orangutan). RNAcentral's name for it is "retained intron". Lineage: Eukaryota; Metazoa; Chordata; Mammalia; Primates; Hominidae. The record is from RNAcentral.
GAGGACAGCGAGUCCUGACUGCUGGACCCUCUUCCCCCAUAGGACAAAGGAAAAGAGCUCUCUGGGCUUGGCAGUGCUCUAAAGAAUCCCUUUGGGAAUGCUGGCCUCCUGCUAGGAGAGGCAGGCAAACAGCUGAGGCGGUAGGCUUAGGGCCAGAGCCAGGGGAGGGCAGGGUGGUAUAUGGCAACUAACCAGUCAUUCUCCCUCUUCCUCUCAGGCGGGCAGGGCUGGGCAGCGGCCUGAGUCUCAGUGGACUUGUCCACCCGGAGUUGAGUCGGAGCGGCGAGCUGUACAGGCUCUGGAGCAGUUUGCCACUGUGGUGGAGGCCAAGCUGAUAAAACACAAGAAGGGGAUUGUCAGUGAGUGAGCCCUACACCCUUCCGCCCCUCCCUUUCCUCUCCUUGAAACUAACGCCCCC